AUGUCGGAACACCAACCGAAUCCUAAACUGACUUCGGAACAGCUUAAUUCGAAAGACGAUAGUAGGCUCGAGGGGGAUCAAAAGAAGGAUUAUCGGUCCCCUAAAAGAAGAAAGCUGGUUAGACUGCAAUGUAUGCCUAUGGAAAGAAAAGUAACGAAAAGCGAUCCAUAUGAUCAUAAUAAAGAAUUUCCUAUACGUCUUUUAAAACAAGAAUGUUGUUGUCUCAAGAUCCCAAGCGCAAAAGCUUUCUCUCUCCCAAUCAACGAUGAUCUCAGUAGUGCGAACUAUAGUAACAAGGCGCUAGCCAACCUAGUGGAGUAA
Molecule: long non-coding RNA, 321 nt
Filed under: Vicia faba (fava bean)
Lineage: Eukaryota; Viridiplantae; Streptophyta; Magnoliopsida; Fabales; Fabaceae
Source: RNAcentral